UUAUUGAUAAUAAUUUUAGGUYUGACCUGCCCAAUGAUAUAAUUAAAUGGCUGCGGUAUCUCGACCGUACAAAGGUAGCAUAAUCAUUAGUUUUAUAAUUGAAAGCUUGUAUGAAAGGUUUGAUGAAAGAAUUUCUGUCUCUAUUCAAAUUUAUUGGAAAUUUAUUUUUAAGUAAAAAAGCUUAAAUAUUUAUAGAAGACGAGAAGACCCUAUAGAGUUUUAUAUUUAUAUGUGUAUAGUUUUAUUAGGAUAAAAGAAUUAUAUUAGUAAAAAUAUUUGGUUGGGGUGAUUAAAAAAUUAAAGUAACUUUUUUUGUAUAAGAUCAUAAAUUUAUGAAUAUUUGAUCCUUAAAUAAAGAUUAAAAGAUAAAAUUACCUUAGGGAUAACAGCGUUAUUUUUUUCUAGAGUUCUAAUCGAAAGAAAAGAUUGCGACCUCGAUGUUGGAUUAAAAAAAAAUAUUGGUGUAGAAGCUAAUAUAUUAGGUCUGUUCGACCUUUUAAAUUUUACAUGAUCUGAGUUUAAACCGGUGUGAGCCAGGUCGGU
Molecule: ribosomal RNA, 543 nt
Filed under: Cryptorhynchini gen. sp. ARC3775
Lineage: Eukaryota; Metazoa; Arthropoda; Insecta; Coleoptera; Curculionidae
Description: partial 16S ribosomal RNA
Rfam family: Bacterial large subunit ribosomal RNA
Source: RNAcentral